Molecule: antisense RNA, 62 nt
Filed under: Salmonella enterica
Lineage: Bacteria; Pseudomonadati; Pseudomonadota; Gammaproteobacteria; Enterobacterales; Enterobacteriaceae
Description: partial antisense sRNA RprA
Rfam family: RprA RNA
About the family: Translational regulation of the stationary phase sigma factor RpoS is mediated by the formation of a double-stranded RNA stem-loop structure in the upstream region of the rpoS messenger RNA, occluding the translation initiation site.
Source: RNAcentral
AGUGAAACAACGAAUUGCUGUGUGUAGUCUUUGCCCGUCUCCUACGAUGGGCUUUUUUUUUA